RNAcentral lists this unclassified non-coding RNA (258 nucleotides) under Melitaea cinxia (Glanville fritillary). Its description in RNAcentral is "misc RNA ENSMCXG00005019999.1". Lineage: Eukaryota; Metazoa; Arthropoda; Insecta; Lepidoptera; Nymphalidae. The record is from RNAcentral.
GGGUUGGAAGUUUGUAUGAAAGUCCCAUGUUUUUGAAGUAAGAGACUUGAAAUUUAAAAUGUAUGCUCUAUAGAUGGUAAAAAGGUGACCAAAUAAUGUAUCUUUAGAAAUCAACUCUCUUUUGGAGUUAAAACGGGGAAUGGUAGGUUUACUCACUCAUCACGAAACCUCCGAAACUAUAACAGCUACAAACCUGUAGUUUUGCAGGUAGGUUCCUUAUAGGGCGGUGCAACCCCUUAAAACGGGGGUUGGAAGUUU